UCCGAUAUGGUGUAGUGGCUAACAUUAUCGCCUCUCAGACAUCUUCUCAAUGUGAAGAUUUGGACGCGAUAGCCCGGGGUUCAAUUCCCCGUGUCGGAA
Molecule: transfer RNA, 99 nt
Organism: Sphaerobolus stellatus SS14
Lineage: Eukaryota; Fungi; Basidiomycota; Agaricomycetes; Geastrales; Sphaerobolaceae
Rfam family: tRNA
About the family: Transfer RNA (tRNA) molecules are approximately 80 nucleotides in length. Their secondary structure includes four short double-helical elements and three loops (D, anti-codon, and T loops).
Source: Rfam